CACUCUAUGUCUCAUUUUUAAUAAAACUAUACGUUAGCGACUCAGAAAUAAAAAAUGAGCAGAAAUCUCUCAAUUAAAUUUAAAAGUUUUCACUUAUACCUCAAAAUAUUUUAAAUCCCUUUCUACCCUUCACUAUUUACUCACACUGAGCUAUACUCACCUAUAUCCCACCAACUACAAUUAGAUCUGAGAGUCAACAACCACCACCACUUAGAAGAAUUACUUCCUCCAUCAACAUUUUCUUCUCCAUCUUGACCACAGCCUUCAUCAUAUCAAUUUAGUGACCAGCGAUUCAGUUUUUAAAAAACGAACAACUGGAAGUGGCGGGAUUGUAGUGGAGUUUUCAGUUUUCAAAGAACGGCGACUAUUUAUACUCCGGCAACCUCCAUUUAUGCUCCGGCGACCGGAGGAAGAGCGACGGGUUUUGCUGUAAUAUCCUUUAAAUGUAUAUUUCAAUUUUCAAUUAUAUUAUUUAAUUUUAUGUUCUAAGUGUUUUUUUUUUUGAAAUUUUGACAGUUAUGGUUUAUUUUUGAUUUUCUUAAUUUGAUUGCUACGGUUGACUAUUGAAUUUGCGGAUGAGACUUAAUAAAGUAUAUGAGCUUAUAUAAUUCCACAAAUUAUCAUAAUCUAAAUGAUUAUAAUGAUGGUAGUUUCGUGUCUUCUGGUUGGAUUUAAAAGAGUUCAAGUACUAACAGAGUAACUUUAUUAUUCUAAUAUGCCUUUUCUUUAUAUGGCAUUGUAAAUGACGAAUGGUUGCUGGUCAUGGAUGCACCAAUUUCAUCAUCAUUUUUCCUACUUAGUUUAUUUGGUGAUUGUGGAGUCUACAUGUUCUGUGCCGCAGAAAUUUUUGUUGAUGGAAAAGAAAUGGGAUUCAAUUUUGAUGUCAAUGAACAUCGUGCUUGCUAUGUUUCUCCUUUGUAUGCAUAUGGUUGUUGGAAGGAAGACUUGGACAUAAUCAUUGAUGACGAACGUCCCAUCAAAUACAAGCGGCACAUAUAUAGUUGAUGUUUUUAUAUUUAGACUUUUAUUUUGCGGUUUUAUGUUUCAAAAAAGUACUUUGCAUUUAUUUUAUAGGCUAUUAAUAUAGAUUUAUUGUUUAUUUUUUUAAA
This is a long non-coding RNA of Mercurialis annua (annual mercury), 1109 nucleotides long. RefSeq lists it as uncharacterized. The record is from RefSeq and is a predicted model, not a curated record. The transcript is spliced from 2 exons. NCBI's taxonomy places the organism in Eukaryota, Viridiplantae, Streptophyta, Magnoliopsida, Malpighiales, Euphorbiaceae.